RNAcentral lists this ribosomal RNA (1119 nucleotides) under Pantoea stewartii. RNAcentral's name for it is "bacterial SSU rRNA". It matches the Rfam family "Bacterial small subunit ribosomal RNA", at positions 56 to 1165 of the family's 1533-position model. Lineage: Bacteria; Pseudomonadati; Pseudomonadota; Gammaproteobacteria; Enterobacterales; Erwiniaceae. The record is from RNAcentral.
UGCAAGUCGGACGGUAGCACAGGAGAGCUUGCUCUCUGGGUGACGAGUGGCGGACGGGUGAGUAAUGUCUGGGAAACUGCCCGAUGGAGGGGGAUAACUACUGGAAACGGUAGCUAAUACCGCAUAACGUCGCAAGACCAAAGUGGGGGACCUUCGGGCCUCACACCAUCGGAUGUGCCCAGAUGGGAUUAGCUAGUAGGCGGGGUAAUGGCCCACCUAGGCGACGAUCCCUAGCUGGUCUGAGAGGAUGACCAGCCACACUGGAACUGAGACACGGUCCAGACUCCUACGGGAGGCAGCAGUGGGGAAUAUUGCACAAUGGGCGCAAGCCUGAUGCAGCCAUGCCGCGUGUAUGAAGAAGGCCUUCGGGUUGUAAAGUACUUUCAGCGGGGAGGAAGGCGAUGCGGUUAAUAACCGCGUCGAUUGACGUUACCCGCAGAAGAAGCACCGGCUAACUCCGUGCCAGCAGCCGCGGUAAUACGGAGGGUGCAAGCGUUAAUCGGAAUUACUGGGCGUAAAGCGCACGCAGGCGGUCUGUUAAGUCAGAUGUGAAAUCCCCGGGCUCAACCCGGGAACUGCAUUUGAAACUGGCAGGCUUGAGUCUCGUAGAGGGGGGUAGAAUUCCAGGUGUAGCGGUGAAAUGCGUAGAGAUCUGGAGGAAUACCGGUGGCGAAGGCGGCCCCCUGGACGAAGACUGACGCUCAGGUGCGAAAGCGUGGGGAGCAAACAGGAUUAGAUACCCUGGUAGUCCACGCCGUAAACGAUGUCGACUUGGAGGUUGUGCCCUUGAGGCGUGGCUUCCGGAGCUAACGCGUUAAGUCGACCGCCUGGGGAGUACGGCCGCAAGGUUAAAACUCAAAUGAAUUGACGGGGGCCCGCACAAGCGGUGGAGCAUGUGGUUUAAUUCGAUGCAACGCGAAGAACCUUACCUACUCUUGACAUCCAGAGAACUUAGCAGAGAUGCUUUGGUGCCUUCGGGAACUCUGAGACAGGUGCUGCAUGGCUGUCGUCAGCUCGUGUUGUGAAAUGUUGGGUUAAGUCCCGCAACGAGCGCAACCCUUAUCCUUUGUUGCCAGCGAUUCGGUCGGGAACUCAAAGGAGACUGCCGGUGAUAAACCG